This 429-nucleotide ribosomal RNA is filed under the name Gemmatimonadota bacterium. RNAcentral describes it as "Gemmatimonadetes bacterium partial 16S ribosomal RNA". It matches the Rfam family "Bacterial small subunit ribosomal RNA", at positions 355 to 776 of the family's 1533-position model. The record is from RNAcentral. Lineage: Bacteria; Pseudomonadati; Gemmatimonadota.
UAGGGAAUCUUCGGCAAUGGACGAAAGUCUGACCGAGCAACGCCGCGUGAGUGAAGAAGGUUUUCGGAUCGUAAAACUCUGUUGUUAGAGAAGAACAAGGACGUUAGUAACUGAACGUCCCCUGACGGUAUCUAACCAGAAAGCCACGGCUAACUACGUGCCAGCAGCCGCGGUAAUACGUAGGUGGCAAGCGUUGUCCGGAUUUAUUGGGCGUAAAGCGAGCGCAGGCGGUUUCUUAAGUCUGAUGUGAAAGCCCCCGGCUCAACCGGGGAGGGUCAUUGGAAACUGGGCGACUUGAGUGCAGAAGAGGAUAGUUGAAUUCCCUGUGUAGCGGUUAAAUGCGUAGAUAUAUGGAGGAACACCAGUGGCGAAGGCUGCUCUCUGGUCUGUAACUGACGCUGAGGCUCGAAAGCGUGGGGAGCAAACAGG